UUGAACGCUGGCGGCAUGCCUUACACAUGCAAGUCGAACGGCAGCGCGUCCUUCGGGAUGGCGGCGAGUGGCGAACGGGUGAGUAAUACAUCGGAACGUGCCCGAGAGUGGGGGAUAACGCAGCGAAAGCUGUGCUAAUACCGCAUACGAUCUCAGGAUGAAAGCAGGGGACCGCAAGGCCUUGCGCUCACGGAGCGGCCGAUGGCAGAUUAGGUAGUUGGUGGGAUAAAAGCUUACCAAGCCGACGAUCUGUAGCUGGUCUGAGAGGACGACCAGCCACACUGGGACUGAGACACGGCCCAGACUCCUACGGGAGGCAGCAGUAGGGAAUCUUCCGCAAUGGGCGCAAGCCUGACGGAGCGACGCCGCGUGAGUGAUGAAGGCCUUCGGGUCGUAAAGCUCUGUUCUUGAGGACGAAUAAGCCAGGGAGUGGAAAGCCCUGGUGAUGACUGUACUCAAGGAGAAAGCUCCGGCUAACUACGUG
This 484-nucleotide ribosomal RNA is filed under the name uncultured bacterium. RNAcentral describes it as "bacterial SSU rRNA". It matches the Rfam family "Bacterial small subunit ribosomal RNA", at positions 29 to 507 of the family's 1533-position model. The record is from RNAcentral.